This is a long non-coding RNA of Oncorhynchus keta (chum salmon), 801 nucleotides long. RefSeq lists it as uncharacterized. The transcript is spliced from 3 exons. The record is from RefSeq and is a predicted model, not a curated record. Lineage: Eukaryota; Metazoa; Chordata; Actinopteri; Salmoniformes; Salmonidae.
AAUUUAAUUUUGAGGAUAUAACGCCUUUCCUCAGGUCAGAAUGUAAUUUGUUAUCUCUUUUGGUUUAUGGUUUGGGUAAGAAAACCAAGAAGUAGUCAAACUAGUGUUCAUUUUGUAGUUCAUAGUGCCUUAAAGAUAGAAUCCGCAGGUUGUGGGCGCCUCCAUGCCGCCCCACUUCUUCUGUUGUGUUUUCACUUUGAACGAAAACAAGGGGAUGGAGCCCUGAGCCGCCUCGGGCUGGCCUUCUGGGCAAGGUGUGUCUUCGCACUAAAUCCUGUCUACUCAAACAACCCUGCUGCCAUCCUCCGGAGCUGAAAGUCACUUGCAAGCUACAGUCGCCAGAGCAGACGAAGCAAACAAGCUAGCUAACUUGUUUGCAGAUAAACUGUUCUGGUAGCAUGGUCAGCAUUUUCAGAAAAUGUAGUCAGAAACAAGCAUCAUUCUCAGUUCUUGGAUCUGAAUCAACUCGUCCCCAAAAGAGAAAAAGAAGCACGAAAAAGACUGCUCAUGACCAAUCCAGAAACCGGAUAAACAUUGGAAUUAAUUUUGGAAGGUGGAAGAGUGUUGCCGAAAUGGCCAUCAUCCUCAUGAACAGGGAGAUACUGGUGGAGACAGUCUGAUUUCGAAGGGAACCUGAGGUUGUAGAAGUUGUGGUUGUGGAAAAUUCCAAAAGAUAGCGCACAGGCCACCUCUUCUUUACUCUUCACGCUCAGUAGAGGCUCCAGCACCGCACACAAAGUCCGGUAGUUAUUGGUAACAUACUCGGCAAACUCCUUGUACAGCUCCAUGGGCAGGAUACUC